UGGGAUGUGGCUCAGUGGUAGAGCACUCGCCUAGCAUAUGCGAGGUCCUGGGUUCGAUCCUUAGCACCACAU
RNAcentral lists this transfer RNA (72 nucleotides) under Ictidomys tridecemlineatus (thirteen-lined ground squirrel). RNAcentral describes it as "Spermophilus tridecemlineatus (thirteen-lined ground squirrel) tRNA". It matches the Rfam family "tRNA". From Rfam's summary of the family: Transfer RNA (tRNA) molecules are approximately 80 nucleotides in length. Their secondary structure includes four short double-helical elements and three loops (D, anti-codon, and T loops). Lineage: Eukaryota; Metazoa; Chordata; Mammalia; Rodentia; Sciuridae. The record is from Rfam by way of RNAcentral.